UUCCGGUUGAUCCUGCCAGAGGCCACUGCUAUCGGAGUUCGAUUAAGCCAUGCGAGUCGAGAGGUGCAAGACCUCGGCAUACUGCUCAGUAACACGUGACAACCUACCCUAUGAGGGGGAUAACCCCGGGAACUGGGGAUAAUACCCCAUAGACUAUGGAUGCUGGAAUGCUUUGUAGUUAAAAGGUCCGCCGCCAUAGGAUGGGUCUGCGGCCGAUUAGGUUGUUGUUGGGGAACGGCCCAACAAAGCCUGUAAUCGGUACGGGUUGUGGGAGCAAGAGCCCGGAGAUGGAUUCUGAGACACGAAUCCAGGCCCUACGGGGCGCAGCAGGCGCGAAAACUUUACAAUGCGGGAAACCGUGACAGGGGGAUCCCAAGUGCUCAUGCAUUGCAUGGGCUGUUCUUUGGUCUAAGUAACCAGAGGAGUAAGAGCUGGGCAAGACCGGUGCCAGCCGCCGCGGUAAUACCGGCAGCUCAAGUGGUAGCCGCGAUUAUUGGGCCUAAAGCGUUCGUAGCCGGAUAAGUAAGUCUUUGGUUAAAUCCUGCGACUUAACCGUGGGAAAUCUAGAGAUACUGCUUGUCUUGAGACCGGGAGAGGUUGGAGGUACUCCCAGGGUAGGGGUGAAAUCCUGUAAUCCUGGGGGGACCACCUGUGGCGAAGGCGUCCAACUGGAACGGGGUCUGACGGUGAGGGACGAAACCUAGGGGAGCGAGCCGGAUUAGAUACCCGGGUAGUCCUAGGCGUAAAUGAUGCGAGUUAAGUGUGGGGGCAUCUACUAGAUGGCCCUGUGCUGUAGGGUAGCCGUUAAACUCGCCGCCUGGGGGAGUACGGUCGCAAGGCUGAAACUAAAGGAAUUGGCGGGGGAGCAC
RNAcentral lists this ribosomal RNA (869 nucleotides) under uncultured archaeon. Its description in RNAcentral is "bacterial SSU rRNA". It matches the Rfam family "Archaeal small subunit ribosomal RNA", at positions 1 to 879 of the family's 1478-position model. The record is from RNAcentral.